GACAGAGGGUGCAAACGUUGCUCGGAAUCACUGGGCGUAAAGGGCGCGUAGGCGGGAAUGUAAGUCGGGCGUGAAAUCCCUAGGCUCAACCUAGGAACUGCACUCGAAACUGCGUUUCUUGAGUAUCGGAGAGGAAAGCGGAAUUCCUGGUGUAGAGGUGAAAUUCGUAGAUAUCAGGAGGAACACCAGUGGCGAAGGCGGCUUUCUGGACGGUACUGACGCUGAGACGCGAAAGCGUGGGGAGCGAACAGG
RNAcentral lists this ribosomal RNA (252 nucleotides) under uncultured bacterium. RNAcentral describes it as "partial 16S ribosomal RNA". It matches the Rfam family "Bacterial small subunit ribosomal RNA", at positions 524 to 776 of the family's 1533-position model. The record is from RNAcentral.